AGUGAACGCUGGCGGUAGGCCUAACACAUGCAAGUCGAACGGCAGCACAGUAAGAGCUUGCUCUUACGGGUGGCGAGUGGCGGACGGGUGAGGAAUACAUCGGAAUCUACUUUUUCGUGGGGGAUAACGUAGGGAAAAUUACGCUAAUACCGCAUACGGCCUACGGGUGAAAGCAGGGGAUCUUCGGACCUUGCGCGAUUGAAUGAGCCGAUGUCGGAUUAGCUAGUUGGCGGGGUAAAGGCCCACCAAGGCGACGAUCCGUAGCUGGUCUGAGAGGAUGAUCAGCCACACUGGAACUGAGACACGGUCCAGACUCCUACGGGAGGCAGCAGUGGGGAAUAUUGGACAAUGGGCGCAAGCCUGAUCCAGCCAUACCGCGUGGGUGAAGAAGGCCUUCGGGUUGUAAAGCCCUUUUGUUUGGAAAGAAAAGCAGCAGGUUAAUACCCCGCUGUUCUGACGGUACCCAAAGAAUAAGCACCGGCUAACUUCGUG
RNAcentral lists this ribosomal RNA (492 nucleotides) under uncultured bacterium. RNAcentral's name for it is "partial 16S ribosomal RNA". It matches the Rfam family "Bacterial small subunit ribosomal RNA", at positions 29 to 507 of the family's 1533-position model. The record is from RNAcentral.